RNAcentral lists this ribosomal RNA (405 nucleotides) under Triticum aestivum (bread wheat). RNAcentral's name for it is "partial small subunit ribosomal RNA". Lineage: Eukaryota; Viridiplantae; Streptophyta; Magnoliopsida; Poales; Poaceae. The record is from RNAcentral.
AUGGACAUCGACGGGGAGCCUUUGUUCGAGGACGAGCUCGUCAACCAAGCCGGCGCAAACAAGAAGCGCAAAAUCAAGCGGACGAAGGCGUAUACGCCGUUCGAGGACAAGCUCCUUUGUGAGUGCUGGAGGGACAUUGGGCAAGACCCCAAGGUCGGUGUCGAACAAAAGACAUCAAACUUUUGGAUUCGUGUUCAUCGUGAGUUCCAUGAACACAAGAAGUUUGCGUUGUACCAAAUGCAAAGCAAGCGUGGGUGGGUGUCCCUUUCAAAGCGAUGGAGGGUGAUACAACAAGAGUGCAACAAGCUUUGUGCCACCCUUGAGACCAUCAAGGCACACCGCAUGAGUGGCAUAUGCAUGCAAGAUAGGGUAUACAUGCACCCCUCUUCGUUUUGAUUCCCGUAA